GCACUGUAUAUUCCAAAUUAUUCUUAUACAGUAUAUGAGGACGUACAUUUUUACAAUUGUAAGAUAACUCAUAUGUCGAGGAAGAAAAUACGUGUUUUAUUGAAAUGAGUGAGUCCGUGAAAGUGGCCGUGAGAUGUCGGCCGAUGAACGCUCGAGAGCUGCAACAGGGAUGCAGGAACAUUAUGACAAUCGACUCAUCGUCGAAAUGUUGUACCCUCGAGUGUCCUGCAGCGGGAACCGGAAAUGGCAAGGUGUAUCAAUUCGACGCCGCCUUCGACCCGGAAGCCACCACAGAAUCCGUCUACGAAAAUGUCGGUUCUGUCAUCGUGGAGGCUGUCCUGGAUGGUUACAACGGUACCGUGUUUGCCUACGGACAAACAGGCUGUGGAAAAUCUCACACGAUGCGAGGAUUCAUCGAACGUACCCUGGACCAUAUUUUCGAGGCCACAUCGACAGCUAGCGCUGAAAUGAGAUACCUGGCCUUGCUCAGUUACCUGGAAAUUUAUAACGAACGAUUACGGGAUCUCCUGCAAGAUGGCAUGAGCGAUCUUCUGACCUUGAAAGAGGAUCCCACUCGUGGAACUUACGUGGCUGGUGGUUUGAAGGAGGUCACGGUGAAAGAUGCUGCAGAGUGUGCACGACUAGUCGAACAGGGUGAUAGAAGAAGAGCUGCUGCAGCCACCAAAAUGAACGCAGCUAGUUCUAGAAGUCACGCUGUACUGACACUGUCGUUAGAGACACUGGCAAUUAACGAGGAGAACAGUAAGACUGAGAAUACUGUAAAAAGAGGAAGACUUCACCUGGUGGAUCUUGCUGGGUCUGAGAGGCAGACGAGGACUGGUGCCACUGGAGACAGACUGAAAGAGGCUGCUAGUAUUAAUUUAAGCCUCUCUGCCUUGGGAAAUGUGAUCAGCGCUUUGGCUGCUGGUCAUGGAAGGCAUGUGCCAUAUAGAGACAGCAAGCUAACCAGACUCCUAAGAGACAGUCUUGGUGGGAAUGCAAGGACUCUGAUGAUUGCUUGUGUAAGUCCCAGCGACGUGGAUGGCGAAGAGACACUGAGUACUUUGCGCUAUGCAGCUAGAGCUCGAUGCAUCAAAAACAAGCCUGUGAUCAACGAAGAUCCGAAGGAUGCUCUGUUAAGGCAAUAUCAGUUAGAACUACAACGUUUAAAAAAGCUACUCGAGUCAAAUGACCCGUUACUCAUAAAGGAGCUUCCAGUAAAGGAAGGAAGCGACGAUGGAGAGAGUACUCAGCAAAAAGAAUACGCCGAUGAAGUCGAGAGAUUAAAGAAAGAAUGUGAACAUUCAAAUUUGUCGGCUCAGAAGCUUCGGGAGGAACUGGAGUCUCUGAAGAUCCGUUAUGAAGCUGAUGGCGUUAAUAACACGAGUACCAAGCCUGUUCCUCAGCAGGCAAUAGACGAGCAGGAUCUGGAACGAGAGGAAAGACGAAGAAAGAAACGAGAGGCGGCUAUGCAAGAGGUGUUGAAGAGAUUAGAGAAGUUGACCAUUGGAGGAGAAGAGCAAGGGAACACGGAACUGAGGAGACGUCGAGAAAAGAGAAGAAAAAAGCUAGCAGCUCUUGCCACAGCUUUGGAGACUAGUGCUCAGGAAGGAAACGGAAGUGUCUUCCAAGUUUAUGGUCAAUUGAGAUCCACAGAAGAUGCUCUAAAGCGAAUGGCCAAGCGAGUGAAGCAACUCGAAGCGGAAGCAGCUGAUCUUCAAGCUUCCUGGGACGCAGAGCGGCGUGAUCUUUUGCGUAGAGAACUGCUCAUCUCUCAGAUAUGCGACGUGAUGGUUCCUCAUCUUCGACCCGGAUGUCCAUUUCGCGAUGUCGCUGCUCUCAGAUCUGCGGCCACUUGGUGCGAUGAGUUGGGUCGUUGGAGAUUGCCGGAUGUGACGCCACAUAUUUCUCUUCCUCCAGCGUCGUUAGUGCCUAAAGAUAACGUACAGUACAAUAUAGUGCCUUCCAAACCUGAUCUUAACAAUAAUAGUAAUGGCAAGGACAAUGAGGAUGAGAUUGGCAACGAGGCUGAUAGCGAGGAGAGCAGUGAACAAGAAGAGGUCAAGAAGCCAGAUAUCGUGGACACGUAUUUCCGGCGGAAUAGAAUUGACAAGUUACUGGCUCAUGUCAGGGAAGCAAAAACGUUUGAAACAUGCAGUCGACUUAGCAGGUCAGGUGGUUCGGAGGAUAUGGUUCCACUUGGAGGCAACCAUCUUCAACUGAACGCUCUGAAUUUGCAAAGCAGUGCACCAGUGAUCGGUGACCUGGAUGGUUACAAACCUACACAACGUCUAUCAACUGGACGGAUUAGCCGACCUGGUUGGAUAUUGGAAGAAAAUUCGAUCAACAAGAGUACCUUGCUGAACCAAACGAUGAAACGAAAUCCUCCUCGAAUAUUGGAAGCAUUGCCCUCAUAUCCUCAAGGUACAAAUGGUGCCUUUAAAUUUGGGAAUAGGUCCAUUUCGAUGAGGAUAUCCGAUAAGAUAUCGUCGAGAUUCAUUCACAACGAGGUCGGUGAUAACCACUCAACGUUGGUUGAACACGCUCGUUCCCCCACGUAUUGAGAUUGAAGACACAAAGACUGUGGUAAUUGGGAACAACGAGCUAGGGUGAUAUCAGUGAGAGAUAUGGAUAAGGAAACAGUGUUUGAGACGUGUGUCCUAUCAACGUAACUGAAUAAUGGACGUCCUUCUGGAAGCUCCUUGGCCAACCGUGGUCACGUGUGAACGAUGACUUUCGACGUUGGAAAAUAGCAAUGUGAUAAACAACUCUUUGCCCUCCGCAUAUUUCCCUUUCAGUUAAUGCUUGAAAUCAUUUUGUGAACAGAGAUUUAGAAAUCACUAUCGUUCAAUCUUGAGUCAAGGAUCUAAAAAAUUUAUGCUCCGUUAAUUCUAAAUACAAUUUAUGCACAUUGACAUGUGCUCAUAUAUUACACAGGAUAAACAAAUUUAUA
Molecule: RNA transcript, 2953 nt
Organism: Eufriesea mexicana
Lineage: Eukaryota; Metazoa; Arthropoda; Insecta; Hymenoptera; Apidae
Gene name: osmotic avoidance abnormal protein 3
Exons: 7
Source: RefSeq, a predicted model, not a curated record